RNAcentral lists this ribosomal RNA (448 nucleotides) under Araneus marmoreus. Its description in RNAcentral is "partial 16S large subunit ribosomal RNA". It matches the Rfam family "Bacterial large subunit ribosomal RNA", at positions 1831 to 2601 of the family's 2925-position model. The record is from RNAcentral. Lineage: Eukaryota; Metazoa; Arthropoda; Arachnida; Araneae; Araneidae.
UUCUUACUGAAAUUAUUGUAAGUAACACCUGCUCAAUGAAUUUUAAAUAGCCGCGGAAAUUUAACCGUGCUAAGGUAGCAUAAUCAUUAGUCCCUUAAUUAGGGACUUGUAUGAAUGGUGAAACAAUUUAAUUACUUUAUUAAGUAAUAUUUAUCAAAUUUAAAUUAAGAAUAAAAAUGUUCUUAUUAAAAAAUUAGACGACAAGACCCUUUUGAACUUUACUUAUGUUUAGCUGGGGCAGCUAAAAAAUAAUAAUCUUUUUUAUUUUAUUUUAAUAAAUGAUCCUUUAAAAUUGAACAUAUGAACAAGUUACCAUAGGGAUAACAGCGCAAUAUUUUUUUAAAGCUCUUAUAAAAAAAAAUAAUUACGACCUCGAUGUUGAAUUAGUGUAACUUUAUAGAUGCAAUAAUUUUAAAAGUAGGUCUGUUCGACCAUUAAAACACUACAU